AAAAAAAAUGUUUAUUGUCCUUCAGAUGGAGGAGCAGGAGGAGUGUGAAGCGAAUCUUCCGGCUGGUAUCCCUCUAACCGCUGCAACAGGCUCUCAGAGUAGCCUGGGAAGCAGCUGUUGAUGGCGUUGAUGUAUUCCUGCAGAACAGAGCCUGGCUCUGCGUCAAUCUCUUGGAUUUUCUUCAGUCCGCCGCUGGUCACAAACAAACGACGGGCCUUGCUGUCAUGGGGAAGCACCUGUUGAGAACCAGAGAGAUGGAUGUUUUAUUUCAGUCGCCAAGCGCACGAGAGGCAAAGAUUUGUCGGAGCGUUUGGAGUUGUCCUCCCCACCUUGCUGAACUGGCAGACGACGUGUUUGAGGAUGUUGCUGGGAGCGUCGUAGAGUAGCGGCUCCAGAGCUGAGACUAGGGUGCACUUCUGUAGGAUGUUCUUCAGCGCCUUCUUACUCUGAAACAUUCAACAAGGUUCGUCUCGUUUCCAACGGCAAGAUUCAGGCAUUUUCAAUGUACGUUUUCAAACAUUUUUCCUAGAGGUAAAAACAAUAAAAAUGAACUAAAA
This is a long non-coding RNA of Xiphophorus hellerii (green swordtail), 557 nucleotides long. RefSeq lists it as uncharacterized. The transcript is spliced from 2 exons. The record is from RefSeq and is a predicted model, not a curated record. Lineage: Eukaryota; Metazoa; Chordata; Actinopteri; Cyprinodontiformes; Poeciliidae.